UAGUUGGAUUCAUUUCUGUUGCACCACAAUGGGAAUUCCCCUACUGUACUUUCUAUCACUUAUAUUGUAUGCAUUUUAGGUCUUGUUUCCUGGUGAUUUGCAGUUCUGGCUCUCUCCCUGUGUCUCUAAUUCUUGUCUUCAUUUAUUCCUUCCUUCACAAGCAUCUCUGGAACACUUGUGCCACAAGCAUCUCUGGAACACUUGUGAGUGGCACAAGGCUCACCAUCAAAGGGCUCAGCAAAAUGAAUGACUGACCAGCAAGGCACCGGCCCCUGAAGGGAGAAGGAUGAUCUCUGCCUUCAUGCCUUCCAAGUGCUCAUGGUCUCAAGAAACUCAUGUGGGCACAUAAUGGUAAAGCAACAUGGCAGGAUUACAUUGGAAACAGCCACAGAAAUAUCAUGCUAUGCCUAACCCUGCCUGGCCUUUGGGGAAGGCUUUGCAGUGGCUGAGGCUGGAAAUAUCAAAAGGGAGGGCACUCCAGACCAAAGACCGACAUGGGUAAAGGCAAUGAAGCAAGAAUUUGCAAGAUCCGCUGAGGGCAAGGAUGGGGCCCCCAAGUCAGGGCAUCCUCCACUGUCAGUGACUCUCAAGGCCACACAUGGGGGCAUAUAGAAGCUGGG
This is a long non-coding RNA of Phacochoerus africanus (Common warthog), 620 nucleotides long. RefSeq lists it as uncharacterized. Lineage: Eukaryota; Metazoa; Chordata; Mammalia; Artiodactyla; Suidae. The record is from RefSeq and is a predicted model, not a curated record. The transcript is spliced from 3 exons.